RNAcentral lists this ribosomal RNA (462 nucleotides) under uncultured bacterium. RNAcentral's name for it is "bacterial SSU rRNA". It matches the Rfam family "Bacterial small subunit ribosomal RNA", at positions 343 to 797 of the family's 1533-position model. The record is from RNAcentral.
UGGAGGCAGCAGUGAGGAAUUUUGGACAAUGGGGGCAACCCUGAUCCAGCCAUGCCGCGUGAGUGAAGAAGGCCUUCGGGUUGUAAAGCUCUUUCGGACGGAAAGAAAUCGCACGGGCUAAUACCCUGUGUGGAUGACGGUACCGUAAGAAGAAGCACCGGCUAACUACGUGCCAGCAGCCGCGGUAAUACGUAGGGUGCGAGCGUUAAUCGGAAUUACUGGGCGUAAAGCGUGCGCAGGCGGUUUUGUAAGACAGAUGUGAAAUCCCCGGGCUUAACCUGGGAACUGCAUUUGUGACUGCAAGGCUUGAGUGUAGCAGAGGGAGGUAGAAUUCCACGUGUAGCAGUGAAAUGCGUAGAGAUGUGGAGGAAUACCGAUGGCGAAGGCAGCCUCCUGGGUUAACACUGACGCUCAUGCACGAAAGCGUGGGGAGCAAACAGGAUUAGAUACCCGGGUAGUCCG